Molecule: ribosomal RNA, 500 nt
Filed under: Corynebacterium pseudodiphtheriticum
Lineage: Bacteria; Bacillati; Actinomycetota; Actinomycetes; Mycobacteriales; Corynebacteriaceae
Description: partial 23S ribosomal RNA
Rfam family: Bacterial large subunit ribosomal RNA
Source: RNAcentral
GUUAUAUGGUCAAGUGAAGAAGCGCAUACGGUGGAUGCCUUGGCAGUCAGAGGCGAUGAAAGACGUGGUAGCCUGCGAAAAGCUUCGGGGAGUCGGCAAACAGACUUUGAUCCGGAGAUGUCUGAAUGGGGGAACCCAGCCAUCAUAAGAUGGUUAUCUUGUACUGAAUACAUAGGUGCAAGAGGCGAACCAGGGGAACUGAAACAUCUAAGUACCCUGAGGAAAAGAAAUCAACCGAGAUUCCCUUAGUAGUGGCGAGCGAACGGGGACUAGCCCUUAAGUGGCUUUGAGAUUAGCGGAACGCUCUGGAAAGUGCGGCCAUAGUGGGUGAUAGCCCUGUACGCGAAAAUCUCUUAGUCAUGAAAUCGAGUAGGACGGAGCACGAGAAACUUUGUCUGAAUAUGGGGGGACCAUCCUUCAAGGCUAAAUACUACUGACUGACCGAUAGUGAACUAGUACCGUGAGGGAAAGGCGAAAAGAACCCCGGAGAGGGGGGUGAA